RNAcentral lists this long non-coding RNA (19013 nucleotides) under Citrus maxima (pomelo). RNAcentral describes it as "long non-coding RNA (CMAX_LNC002286)". The stretch from base 5321 to 5427 matches the Rfam family "Plant small nucleolar RNA R71". The record is from RNAcentral. Lineage: Eukaryota; Viridiplantae; Streptophyta; Magnoliopsida; Sapindales; Rutaceae.
UGGGGUCUCAAAUGGGCUGCCUCUUUGCCACUCUUUUGGUAGUAUCAGUCUCUCUUAGCUACUUGCCGUUAGAAGCCUCCGCAAACAAAUACUACUACACAUCUCCUCCCCCUCCCAAGUACAAGUCUCCACCACCACCCCCGCCACCGGUUCACAAUUCUCCACCACCACCCCCGGUUUACCUGCCCCCGCCACCUCCUCCACCAGUCUACGUGCCUGCUCCGGCACCAACUCCAAUUUUCCCUUCUCCGCCACCUCCUGUCCCCAAGUCCCCACCACCACCUCACCCUUACGUCUAUGCAUCUCCCCCUCCUCCUUACUACUACUAGAAAGCGGCCAUGAAUAGCUCAUGCUUUUAUGGUAAUCUCAUUUAUUUUUAAAACUGUACAUGUAAAGACUAGUAGUUCAGAAUUACAUUAAGCAUUUCAAUUUUAAGCACCGUGUUCUGUUUAAUUGCGUUCCUAUUGAUUAAGUGACAAAUAAAAGAGAUUGAUUAAUUUGUUCUUGUAGGAGAGGCGAAUGGUAUCCGAAUAAAGAAAGCAAGGGUUUGAUGGAAGGCUUACUUGGAGCAAGAUAGCGAUCAAUCGAGUUGCUGCGUUUUAUUCUCUUUUAUCUUUGUUUUUUAAGAAAAAUAAACUGCCACACGUAGAAACAGAAAAUUAAGUUCUUGUCAUUUUCAUGCAUAUGGAUUGUUGCUGUGUGUGUCAAUCAAAUCUCCGUUGUGUCAUUUGUAAUUUUCAACCUUUAUGCAUGCAAAUGCGAGACCUCUUACGUAUAAUAAAAUUAAUAUACUUCCCAAGAUGGUCUUAUCUUGCGUUGACUUUUUACGUUCCUUUGGUGAUGAUUUUGACGUUUGAAAUUGAUGACUAAUUGACUAUUGUUUUUGUAAACUCUGACAUGGAUUUUUCGUGCAACUACAGAGCGCAUUAACGAGAGACUUAUCCAUGAGGGUCCAUGCAGAUCAGUGUCUAAUUAACCAAUAAUUAAUAUAACUAAAAAAAUAUAGAGUUAACUAUUUUUAUGGGUCAGGCUCAAUUGCAGAUGUUCGUACAAAAUUUCUUGCUAAUGUAUACUUGAGUAUGAUAAUAAGUUUUAAUCAUUAUUAAUAAUUCACUUGAUAAUAUUAAACAAAUUUUCAUAUCAAUUAAGUUACAAAAUUUCUGUGACAAAUUUCCGCGUACUGGAACCAUGCAAAAGGGCUUUAUUCAAACAAAACUGCAUAGCCGUUGGCAAUUAAAAUUAUUUAUCAAUUAAGUUAAGUAGUAAGAAUUGGAUUGUGGAUUCCAUUAAUUAUUUCAAGGAAAAUUUUAUAGAUAAUGCCGUAAUGAAAUUUACGGCAUCAAUACCAUGAUAAAUAUAAAUAUUGUAAAUUACAAAUAGAAUUAGUAAAUGUAAAGUAAAACCAGUAAAUUCAUAAAAGAUUAUUAAUUAUUUAAAAAAUUAACAUUGUUUCUACAUAAUUUUAGUGAAAAAUAUUUUAUUCAUUUACAAAAACAUUUCUUUAAUUAAACAAAAAAAUUCAUUAAUUAAGCAAAAAAAUUAUACUGAAAAAAAAGUGGAAUAAGUUUAAUUGAAUUGGUUAUCAUAAAUUCUAUAUUUAGUCUAGGACAUUUUUAUACAUUUUCUUCCCAUUUUCGAUAAUGAUAUCUAUUUGUUACACAUGUUAAUUAAGUGCAAUUAUUUAUCUUGAUGUGGAUCAAGUAAAAAAAUAUCAUAAAUAAGAUAUCAAUAAAAUUAGAUCUAAUUUUGAAUAUUAUGUAUACUUUAUGUAGUUUCAAACUUUUUACUUGUAUUUGGAGACCAUUUAAGGUUGUUGUUGAAGAAGUGUAGAAAGAUGUAAAAUAACUUCAUCUUACAACAACUAUGAAAGAUAUUAAAAUAAUAAUUUUUUCAAAAUCCGAUUUUGAGAAAAAAAUUCAUCCUUAAUUAAACAUCACAUGUAUUAUAGAAAUGCAAAACUACCAUUGUUAUAUUUAACUUAAAAAAUAAUAAAUAUAUAAGGUAAUAAACAUUAUAAAGAGUUUUUAUUUUAAAAUUGUAAACUUUUGUUUCUGACAAUAACUCUUAUAUUAAUUUAUUUAUUUUGCCUUUUAUUCAUAAGUUUUAUGCAUAAUUUACAAACUUUAAGUUUUAUUUUGCAUUUUAUGUUGAUUUGGUUUUUUUAUAUUAUACGUACAAGUUUUCUUUUUAUUUACCAGUAAUACAUCAAUUUAUCAGCUUGAUAGUAAUUUACUUAUUUUACCUUCCUUUUACAAUUCUUAUGUUUCAUUUCCAAAAUUUAUGUUUUAUUUUACAGUUGUUGAUGAUUUACUAGUUUUAUGUUAUGUUUGCAAGUUUUUGUUUUGUUUACUAGUAAUAGAUUAAUGGGUAAUUUUUAAUUGAGUCCUCAUUAGUUCUAGAAAAACAAUUCAGAGACCAGAAGUUUACUAAAUGAAUCAAUUAAAUUCUUUCAAGUACAAACUAAUGUCAUUCAAGUCCUUAACUUAAUUGGUCAGUUAAAAAUAUUAACAACGUUGAGGACAUUUUAGUAAAACAACAAUUGAGUCGUUUCUCAUUCUUUAUUUUUGACAGGUGGAAAUAGUUUAAAGUAAACUCACUUAACCUGAUUAAGUUAAGGAUCAGUUCUUUCAAAUGAAAAAAAAAAAAAAAACCUACAGAAACUGCCAUAUUCUUCGUGUGGGAGGAGAGAUCGAGAGAACGUGGGAUGGUGCAAAAAAUGUUGUAUAAAUCUACUGUGAUUUUGACCAAAGCUUUGGUAGCAUUGAUUGAGUUCAAGUACUGGAGAGAACCUGAGUUUAAAGGUUAGUAACUCUAUUUUUUUAGUGAUUUCUGCAAGCAUUUUCUGAUAAAAAAUUUUCCGUAUUGAGUGAUCGUUGUGAAAAAUUAAGUUUUUCAAGUCUAUUUUACAAAAUGACAAACUAUGUUUAAUUAUUGAUGGAUUCUUUUUUUUGUUCAAUGUUGUAUUUUGUUAAUUUGUUGUUUUUAAUUUGCUCUUAAUGUAAUUGUUAGACCAAAUACACCAUUAUUAUACCUGUAUUCAUUUCAACAAUUUGGUAUCGUUAUAUUAAUAAGAUUGAAUUCAUUGUAUUUGCUUCUUUGUUCAUGUAAAAUUGAAUUCUAUGUAUUCUUAUGAGUGAUAAUUUUUCUAUCUAUUAGACUAAAUUCACUAUAUUCACUACUUUCUUUCUUUUUGCUGGGCUAUUUUUUCUUUUUAGUUUAUAUUUUUUAUAUGUAUUAGAUUGAAUUUGCUUUUGUACGUUUUUUUUAGCCGAAUUACAUGUAUAUUUCAUUUAGGUUGAGUUUUUUUUGUUGUUUGCUAAAUAAAAUUAUAUUGGUUUAUCCCUUUUUUAUGCAAUACUUUUUGUUUAAAAUUAAUACAGUUAGCCAUGUUACCUUUUUUUUCGGUUAAAAUUAAUGGGGUGAUGUAGGCGAUAGGAUAUAGGGAACCAGAGGAAUAUAAGAUUAUUAGGCUGUUUCUUGAAAUUCAAGAUGUCAUGGUUAAGCAUGGACACAGUGAAAUGGAUUUGAUUGAAAUUUUUGUUGUAUUGCCAUGGACUACAAGUGGCCAGAGGAAGCUAAUUUCAAACGAUAGUGAAUUGUAUUGGGUUUUCGAGGAGUUUUUUUUAAUCAAUAGUUGUCCUGUCAUUGAGUUUGAGGUGCACACUGGGUCAGGUGGUCAGUCAUUUCAUGAAAGUGUUGUAAUAGGACCUGAAAAUCCUGUCAAUAUUAAAAAUUAGUGUUGUAAUAGUGAUAAGUUUGAAAAUGUUGUGGCUAAAAAGGUCUGCCUAGAAUAAUUGGUACUUCUUUAUUUGCCUCAAAGUCCAACACUAUGAAAUCCACAAGGAAAAAGAAUUUAUCCACUUUAACCAGCACGUCUUCAAUCUUGCCUUCAGGAUAAGCAUGAGAUCUGGCAGCACAUUGCAAUGUCACUGUGGUUGGUUUGACUUCUCCAACUCCCAAUUGCUUGAAUUCUGAUAAUGUCAUAAGAUUGAUGCUUGCUCCCAAACCACAAAGUGUCUUGCCACUGUAUUUAGUUCCUAUGGAACAAUGAAUUGUGAAACUUCCUGGAUCCUUCAACUUCUGAGGCAUUUUACUCUGAAGCAUAUGGCUGCAUUCUUGUGUUAGACCAACUAUUUCAAAUUCUCCGAGCCUCAUUUUCCUUGCCAAUAUACAUUUCCAAAACUUUACAUAAUUUGGCAUUUGUUCUAAUGCUUCCACAAAAGAAAUGUUGAUAUGCAGUUCUUUCCAUACUUCCAAGAAUUUACUGAACUGCAUGUCUUGCUUUCGCUUUUGAAAUCUUUGUGGGAAGGGUGGUGGAUGUGUAAAUUGUUGUACUGCAGCAGACUAUACAUAUUGCUUUUCUCUUGCUCUAUUAUGGUAUGUUAUUAUUGGUGUUGCAGCUUCUUCCUCAACAAGCAUUGAAUCAUGUUUUUUUGCAGUUGCUAUAACUUAGCAACUCUCACCAGUGUGCUGGAAAAUGGGUUGUUGUGUCUCUUCUUUAAUUUGAGUUUCCCCUUGGGUUGAAUUAGGUUCCACUCUUCUUUUUGGUACUUUAACAAGUAUAUGAACAUCCUUUCCAAACCUUAAGUUAAUCCCCUUACAAUGCUCUUUUCCUUCUCUCUUUCGAUCCUCUGUAUUGUUUAGUAAAUUGUCCUGAGGUAUGUUGCUCAAUUUUGUAGCAAGCUGUCCAAUCUUAUUCUCCAAGUUUCUUAAAAAUACAGCUUGGCUUUAGACCACUACUCCAAUCUUUACAAUAUACUCCUUAAUCAGAGUUUCAAUGGAACUAAAUUGAUCAUUACUGGUGUUUCUUUACCCUUCAAAUUUCUGGUGAAAAUCAGGUGGCUGAGCAAGUCUGUUCUGUCCACUGGAUGCUGCAGCAUGCUGAUUCUGAUUGCUCCUUUUAAAAUUUGGGUGAUGUCUCCAUCCUAGGUUAUAGGUGUUUGAAAAUGGAUUGCUUUGAUUUUGUUUAUUAAAAUUGCCCACAUAAUUGACGGAAGCUGAAUUCCUAGGACAAUUAUGAUAUAGAUGUCCCUCUCCAUAAUAAACACAAGAGACUUCAGCAAUUUGGUUAACUGUUGCCGGAGCAGUGGCCGUUGCUUUUACCAUAUUUGUCAAUGAGGUUACUUGGGCUGAUAAUGUUGUCAGUGCAUCCACAUUGUGUACUCCUGCUGCUCCUCUCACUGUGGCUUGUCUAGUUGAUGGCCAUUGAUAGUUAUCCUUUCUAAAAUUUCAUAAGCCUCAUUAUAUGAGUUAGACAAUAAAGCCCCUAGUUAUUGAGUUCAACCCAUUGUAGAAAGUUUCCAAUUGUAUGCAAUAAGGAAUACCAUGAUGAGGGCAUCUCCUGAGUAACCCCUUGAAUCUUUCUCAUGCAUCAUACAAGCUUUCAUCUUCAAGUUGAUGGAAAGAUGUGAUCUCAUUCUUCAACUUUGCAUUCUUUGUUGGUGGGAAAUAUUUCAUCAAAAGUUUGUCAGCCAAAUAAUUCCAUGUGGUGAUGGAGUCUGGUUGCAAAGAACUCCACUGUACCAACUAAAAUUGAUUUCACAAAACACAAUAAGCACCAAUCCCCGGCAACGGCGCAAAAAACUUGUUGUCGAUUUUCUAAUGCUAUUAGUGUCAAUGUGAAAAUGUACACAACAAGUAAUAUAACGAUAAGUAUUCACUCCACAAGGAUUAUUAUUAUAGGAAUUGCUACAGUAAUUCUAUCAGUGCCAUUCUUAUUAUAAAUUAGAAUUUAAACAAAUUAUUCAACUAAUGAACUAAGGCAGAUCUUAUUGGGCUAGUCGGCAAUGUGUUGCUUUAGGUCGUGUGGAAUAGUUGCGGGAGUGAUCUUGCAUGAUGUGUGGAGCUAUAACAGUGCUGAGCAUGGGCCAAUCUAUGGGCUCAUGGAACUAGCGAACCUAAUCUAGAAUUUCGAGGAAGAGUACUCUGGUUAGUACUCUAAAUUACCUUAUUAUAUUUUGCACAAACAGAGGCAUGUUAGUGAAAUAAUAUCUAAGCAACCCAAGAGGGGGGUGAAUUGGGUUUCUAAAAAUUAUGCAAUUCUUAAACAAAACUUAAUGCAAAUCUUAAACGAAUUUAAAGCAAUAAUACAUAAAUCAACCAAGGUAUAAAAAGAUAAGGGAAGAGAGAUUAAAACACAGAGAGUUUUACGUGGUUCGGCCAACCUUGCCUACAUCCACACCCCCAAGCACACCGAGCUUGGGCAUUCCACUAGUCAAGCCUUCAAGGCUUCAAGAACACUUACAAUUGACUUCUUAGGUGUCAAUCAACCUUUACAUCUAGAGAUUAUCCCCAAUCUCUUAACCCAAGUGUAUCCCAAUAUUUACAAUCACUCAAAAUAAAGAUUACAAAUUUAUUUUUCUCUCACACAAUUUUUUAAGAUUACAAAUCAACGCUUAAUGUGUGAAUAAAUGAACAAGAAUGAAUUUGAAGCUCAAUGAAUGUUGUAUUCUCGAUUAUAAGCUCAAUGAUAACGUUGUGAUAAGCUCUUGUUUGAAUUUGAUUGAUCUUAUUUAUAGUUGGAGUUGAAAAAUAGCCAUUGUUGACUUUUUCCCGAAAUUGGAUCGCCGUUAACCGUUAUCGGUUAACCGUUUUGACUGGUCCAAGUGACCGUUGAGCUGAAUUUCAAAUAAACGGUUGAUCUUUUGACACUAUCGGUUUGCUGUUAAUUUCCAUAAACCUGUAAAACAAAUUUAUGCUAUUCGUUCUUGCUAAACGGUUGAAGGUCAGCAUGGAAUGACAUUCUAGAAAUUAUUGGUUGGCCGUUUGAAGUUCACGGUUCACCGUUUACUUCUAGAAUCACAGUUUUAACCAAAUUUCGCAGGGAAUGCUUUUUCGGUUAAAGUUAACGAUUAUCCAUAUUUCAUGAACACAUUUAGAAAAAUCAUACGACUUUUGAGAAAUUGUUUAGUAAUGAAAACUCUAACAUUUUAAUCAAAUACAUUUAAAGUUUGUUAUCAUCAAAAUCAAUAUAAUGAACAUCUACAUGUUAACAGUUAGGCCUUGAUUAUUUUUUAAAUCUUAUAAGAUAUAGAGUGAUAAUAGUAACUCAAUUUUCAUAAAACGUGGAAAGAUCAGUCGCCAAAUUUAUAGAUGCCAUAGAAAACCUAGAUUUUAGUAAGGAAUAUCAAGUUAUUUAUACAAUGAAAAUUGUUAAAACUCGAUUAAUUGCAAGGAAACACUUUUAGAGAGAUAUGGAGAGAAUAAACUUUGAAGAUAACAAUGAAAUACAUGACACAUUUAAGGAAGAAAAUAUAAUAGUAUUAAUAGAAUCUAUUUUAACCGGUCUUAAGAUAAUUCAAGAUUGAUGCAAAAUAAAUAACAGGACUCUAAACCGUCCAUAAUAAGUCUAUUGAUUAAUAAUAACAAUAAUAGUGAUGUGAAAUUUUUUAUUCAGAAUGCUCAAUUUAGAUUAUAAUAUCUAUGUGAAAGCAUUGAUGGCAUGUACCUUGGUUAGGAAAAUAGAUUGGACACAUGGAUAUAUAUGUUGGAAGAACAAAUCUAGUUUAUAUCUCAAGAGAGAUAAUAAAUUAUAAAUGACGGUGCUAUAGUAUAUUCAGAUUUUAUAAAUCUUUAUAAAUUUAAUAAUCAUUUAGAUCUUCAUAAUAUUAUAAUAAAACUUUAAAAAACUUUAAAAAUAUAUGUAGAAGAGAUGGAAGAAGAAAUCAUCCAAUUAUUCAAAAUCAAUUAAACAAAAAUAGAAGGUAAAAUCCUUGAAUUAUAUAAAUUAUACAAUUUCACAGAAAUUUUGCAUAUAUUGCGAAACGGUCCUUGUGGCACUAAUUAUGGGACUAGUGUAGCAUAAAUACUAAUAUUGCUUUUUAUUUUGUAAAUUAAUUGUUGCGUCAUAAUUUUUUUACAUACACAUUUUAUGUUUUAAAAUAUGAUUUUUUUUUUGUAUUUAGGGUUAAUUUUACAAUUUCAUACUUUGUUCAAUUAUAUGUACAGGUCCUUCACGUGUUGGUUGAUGUUGAAUAUUCAAAGAUCCACAAGCUAUCAACGACAACGAAUCAAAUUAAACUAAUUAGUUAAUACAUAAUGACUGGGUUGUUUCCUAUGUUGUUAAUGAUGUAGAACGUUAUUUUAGGAUUUUAGAAUUUUAAUUUUUAGGUCUUCUGAUAUUUUCUUUUUUAAUUAAAGUUAGUGUCUUAGUUUUUUAUUUAUUUAUGUUAUAAUUAUAAUUUACUUUCUCUUUUUAAGUUAACUUAGGAAAAUAUAUUUACUGUAUUAUAAAUAAAGAGAUCUUGUUAUUACUUUAUAACUUCAACUUCAGUUAUUCAAUUAAAAACCCCUCUUUUAUAAUUUCCUUUUGUAUUAUCUAUUAAAAACCCCUCUUUUAAAGUUGUUUGAUUAGAGCAUCAUCUAGCCUUGCUUAACGCAGUAUAAAAAAUCCCUUUGAGUUUAAUCACACGUCGAUUAGAGCGUAACUUAAUCGCAUUGACUUGGUCCAUGACUUGAACGAUAUCUAGUGUUUUGCUUCCGCUAUGCCCAAGGAGAAAAUUAAUUUCACCGUGAGAUAAGAGCAUUAAAAGGAAUUCAUAAGAAAUUUAAAUUAAAGCUAUAUAUGUUAAAUAUAUCGCUAGCUACUUGUUUUUGGAGGAAUUAAAACAAUUAAUAAGCUGCGAAGUGAAAAUGAAUAAAUAAAUGAAAUGAGGUUGAAAAUAAGUCUCGCCGCCUGGAUCCAAGGCCAAAACAUUCAUGAUAAGUUAGGUAAUUAAGUACAUGUUUUCAAGCUCUUCAUGAAGAAUAACGUUAUUGAAAUAAAUCACAAAGACUCCCUGCGCAAAUUAUUACAUUGAUUAAAAAAAAAAGCCAUAUCUUUAACAGGAUCGUGACUCUCGGACUGUUAAUUACUUUAUUCCCUGCUUGGCCAACAGCUGGCCACUAAACAAAAUCAUAAAAAUUUUAAAUUUAGUCAAAUUGGUCCCACUUGAUGACAUCCUUUUCAUACAUAAAAUUGUUAACGUCAAGGUUAAAUAUGAGAAGUUUGGUAGAGAAGGUAAAAAGGAAGUCUAUAUAAGGAGGGGAACGAGCUUUGUUUAUAGCACAAGUGAAACUCCACUUUAUUGAACGAUGGGGUCUCAAAUGGGCUGCCUCUUUGCCACUCUUUUGGUAGUAUCAGUCUCUCUUAGCUACUUGCCGUUAGAAGCCUCCGCAAACAAAUACUACUACACAUCUCCUCCCCCUCCCAAGUACAAGUCUCCACCACCACCCCCGCCACCGGUUCACAAUUCUCCACCACCACCCCCGGUUUACCUGCCCCCGCCACCUCCUCCACCAGUCUACGUGCCUGCUCCGGCACCAACUCCAAUUUUCCCUUCUCCGCCACCUCCUGUCCCCAAGUCCCCACCACCACCUCACCCUUACGUCUAUGCAUCUCCCCCUCCUCCUUACUACUACUAGAAAGCGGCCAUGAAUAGCUCAUGCUUUUAUGGUAAUCUCAUUUAUUUUUAAAACUGUACAUGUAAAGACUAGUAGUUCAGAAUUACAUUAAGCAUUUCAAUUUUAAGCACCGUGUUCUGUUUAAUUGCGUUCCUAUUGAUUAAGUGACAAAUAAAAGAGAUUGAUUAAUUUGUUCUUGUAGGAGAGGCGAAUGGUAUCCGAAUAAAGAAAGCAAGGGUUUGAUGGAAGGCUUACUUGGAGCAAGAUAGCGAUCAAUCGAGUUGCUGCGUUUUAUUCUCUUUUAUCUUUGUUUUUUAAGAAAAAUAAACUGCCACACGUAGAAACAGAAAAUUAAGUUCUUGUCAUUUUCAUGCAUAUGGAUUGUUGCUGUGUGUGUCAAUCAAAUCUCCGUUGUGUCAUUUGUAAUUUUCAACCUUUAUGCAUGCAAAUGCGAGACCUCUUACGUAUAAUAAAAUUAAUAUACUUCCCAAGAUGGUCUUAUCUUGCGUUGACUUUUUACGUUCCUUUGGUGAUGAUUUUGACGUUUGAAAUUGAUGACUAAUUGACUAUUGUUUUUGUAAACUCUGACAUGGAUUUUUCGUGCAACUACAGAGCGCAUUAACGAGAGACUUAUCCAUGAGGGUCCAUGCAGAUCAGUGUCUAAUUAACCAAUAAUUAAUAUAACUAAAAAAAUAUAGAGUUAACUAUUUUUAUGGGUCAGGCUCAAUUGCAGAUGUUCGUACAAAAUUUCUUGCUAAUGUAUACUUGAGUAUGAUAAUAAGUUUUUAAUCAUUAUUAAUAAUUCACUUGAUAAUAUUAAACAAAUUUUCAUAUCAAUUAAGUUACAAAAUUUCUGUGACAAAUUUCCGCGUACUGGAACCAUGCAAAAGGGCUUUAUUCAAACAAAACUGCAUAGCCGUUGGCAAUUAAAAUUAUUUAUCAAUUAAGUUAAGUAGUAAGAAUUGGAUUGUGGAUUCCAUUAAUUAUUUCAAGGAAAAUUUUAUAGAUAAUGCCGUAAUGAAAUUUACGGCAUCAAUACCAUGAUAAAUAUAAAUAUUGUAAAUUACAAAUAGAAUUAGUAAAUGUAAAGUAAAACCAGUAAAUUCAUAAAAGAUUAUUAAUUAUUUAAAAAAUUAACAUUGUUUCUACAUAAUUUUAGUGAAAAAUAUUUUAUUCAUUUACAAAAACAUUUCUUUAAUUAAACAAAAAAAUUCAUUAAUUAAGCAAAAAAAUUAUACUGAAAAAAAAGUGGAAUAAGUUUAAUUGAAUUGGUUAUCAUAAAUUCUAUAUUUAGUCUAGGACAUUUUUAUACAUUUUCUUCCCAUUUUCGAUAAUGAUAUCUAUUUGUUACACAUGUUAAUUAAGUGCAAUUAUUUAUCUUGAUGUGGAUCAAGUAAAAAAAUAUCAUAAAUAAGAUAUCAAUAAAAUUAGAUCUAAUUUUGAAUAUUAUGUAUACUUUAUGUAGUUUCAAACUUUUUACUUGUAUUUGGAGACCAUUUAAGGUUGUUGUUGAAGAAGUGUAGAAAGAUGUAAAAUAACUUCAUCUUACAACAACUAUGAAAGAUAUUAAAAUAAUAAUUUUUUCAAAAUCCGAUUUUGAGAAAAAAAUUCAUCCUUAAUUAAACAUCACAUGUAUUAUAGAAAUGCAAAACUACCAUUGUUAUAUUUAACUUAAAAAAUAAUAAAUAUAUAAGGUAAUAAACAUUAUAAAGAGUUUUUAUUUUAAAAUUGUAAACUUUUGUUUCUGACAAUAACUCUUAUAUUAAUUUAUUUAUUUUGCCUUUUAUUCAUAAGUUUUAUGCAUAAUUUACAAACUUUAAGUUUUAUUUUGCAUUUUAUGUUGAUUUGGUUUUUUUAUAUUAUACGUACAAGUUUUCUUUUUAUUUACCAGUAAUACAUCAAUUUAUCAGCUUGAUAGUAAUUUACUUAUUUUACCUUCCUUUUACAAUUCUUAUGUUUCAUUUCCAAAAUUUAUGUUUUAUUUUACAGUUGUUGAUGAUUUACUAGUUUUAUGUUAUGUUUGCAAGUUUUUGUUUUGUUUACUAGUAAUAGAUUAAUGGGUAAUUUUUAAUUGAGUCCUCAUUAGUUCUAGAAAAACAAUUCAGAGACCAGAAGUUUACUAAAUGAAUCAAUUAAAUUCUUUCAAGUACAAACUAAUGUCAUUCAAGUCCUUAACUUAAUUGGUCAGUUAAAAAUAUUAACAACGUUGAGGACAUUUUAGUAAAACAACAAUUGAGUCGUUUCUCAUUCUUUAUUUUUGACAGGUGGAAAUAGUUUAAAGUAAACUCACUUAACCUGAUUAAGUUAAGGAUCAGUUCUUUCAAAUGAAAAAAAAAAAAAAAAACCUACAGAAACUGCCAUAUUCUUCGUGUGGGAGGAGAGAUCGAGAGAACGUGGGAUGGUGCAAAAAAUGUUGUAUAAAUCUACUGUGAUUUUGACCAAAGCUUUGGUAGCAUUGAUUGAGUUCAAGUACUGGAGAGAACCUGAGUUUAAAGGUUAGUAACUCUAUUUUUUUAGUGAUUUUUGCAAGCAUUUUCUGAUAAAAAAUUUUCCGUAUUGAGUGAUCGUUGUGAAAAAUUAAGUUUUUCAAGUCUAUUUUACAAAAUGACAAACUAUGUUUAAUUAUUGGUGGAUUCUUUUUUUUGUUCAAUGUUGUAUUUUGUUAAUUUGUUGUUUUUAAUUUGCUCUUAAUGUAAUUGUUAGACCAAAUACACCAUUAUUAUACCUAUAUUCAUUUCAACAAUUUGGUAUCGUUAUAUUAAUAAGAUUGAAUUCAUUGUAUUUGCUUCUUUGUUCAUGUAAAAUUGAAUUCUAUGUAUUCUUAUGAGUGAUAAUUUUUCUAUCUAUUAGACUAAAUUCACUAUAUUCACUACUUUCUUUCUUUUUGCUGGGCUAUUUUUUCUUUUUAGUUUAUAUUUUUAUAUGUAUUAGAUUGAAUUUGCUUUUGUACGUUUUUUUAGCCGAAUUACAUGUAUAUUUCAUUUAGGUUGAGUUUUUUUUGUUGUUUGCUAAAUAAAAUUAUAUUGGUUUAUCCCCUUUUUAUGCAAUACUUUUUGUUUAAAAUUAAUACAGUUAGCCAUGUUACCUUUUUUUUCAGUUAAAAUUAAUGGGGUGAUGUAGGCGAUAGGAUAUAGGGAACCAGAGGAAUAUAAGAUUAUUAGGCUGUUUCUUGAAAUUCAAGAUGUCAUGGUUAAGCAUGGACACAGUGAAAUGGAUUUGAUUGAAAUUUUUGUUGUAUUGCCAUGGACUACAAGUGGCCAGAGGAAGCUAAUUUCAAACGAUAGUGAAUUGUAUUGGGUUUUCGAGGAGUUUUUUUUAAUCAAUAGUUGUCCUGUCAUUGAGUUUGAGGUGCACACUGGGUCAGGUGGUCAGUCAUUUCAUGAAAGUGUUGUAAUAGGACCUGAAAAUCCUGUCAAUAUUAAAAAUUAGUGUUGUAAUAGUGAUAAGUUUGAAAAUGUUGUGGCUAAAAAGGUCUGCCUAGAAUAAUUGGUACUUCUUUAUUUGCCUCAAAGUCCAACACUAUGAAAUCCACAAGGAAAAAGAAUUUAUCCACUUUAACCAGCACGUCUUCAAUCUUGCCUUCAGGAUAAGCAUGAGAUCUGGCAGCACAUUGCAAUGUCACUGUGGUUGGUUUGACUUCUCCAACUCCCAAUUGCUUGAAUUCUGAUAAUGUCAUAAGAUUGAUGCUUGCUCCCAAACCACAAAGUGUCUUGCCACUGUAUUUAGUCCCUAUGGAACAAUGAAUUGUGAAACUUCCUGGAUCCUUCAACUUCUGAGGCAUUUUACUCUGAAGCAUAUGGCUGCAUUCUUGUGUUAGACCAACUAUUUCAAAUUCUCCGAGCCUCAUUUUCCUUGCCAAUAUACAUUUCCAAAAACUUUACAUAAUUUGGCAUUUGUUCUAAUGCUUCCACAAAAGAAAUGUUGAUAUGCAGUUCUUUCCAUACUUCCAAGAAUUUACUGAACUGCAUGUCUUGCUUUCGCUUUUGAAAUCUUUGUGGGAAGGGUGGUGGAUGUGUAAAUUGUUGUACUGCAGCAGACUAUACAUAUUGCUUUUCUCUUGCUCUAUUAUGGUAUGUUAUUAUUGGUGUUGCAGCUUCUUCCUCAACAAGCAUUGAAUCAUGUUUUUUUGCAGUUGCUAUAACUUAGCAACUCUCACCAGUGUGCUGGAAAAUGGGUUGUUGUGUCUCUUCUUUAAUUUGAGUUUCCCCUUGGGUUGAAUUAGGUUCCACUCUUCUUUUUGGUACUUUAACAAGUAUAUGAACAUCCUUUCCAAACCUUAAGUUAAUCCCCUUACAAUGCUCUUUUCCUUCUCUCUUUCGAUCCUCUGUAUUGUUUAGUAAAUUGUCCUGAGGUAUGUUGCUCAAUUUUGUAGCAAGCUGUCCAAUCUUAUUCUCCAAGUUUCUUAAAAAUACAGCUUGGCUUUAGACCACUACUUCAAUCUUUACAAUAUACUCCUUAAUCAGAGUUUCAAUGGAACUAAAUUGAUCAUUACUGGUGUUUCUUUACCCUUCAAAUUUCUGGUGAAAAUCAGGUGGCUGAGCAAGUCUGUUCUGUCCACUGGAUGCUGCAGCAUGCUGAUUCUGAUUGCUCCUUUUAAAAUUUGGGUGAUGUCUCCAUCCUAGGUUAUAGGUGUUUGAAAAUGGAUUGCUUUGAUUUUGUUUAUUAAAAUUGCCCACAUAAUUGACGGAAGCUGAAUUCCUAGGACAAUUAUGAUAUAGAUGUCCCUCUCCAUAAUAAACACAAGAGACUUCAGCAAUUUGGUUAACUGUUGCCGGAGCAGUGGCCGUUGCUUUUACCAUAUUUGUCAAUGAGGUUACUUAGGCUGAUAAUGUUGUCAGUGCAUCCACAUUGUGUACUCCUGCUGCUCCUCUCACUGUGGCUUGUCUAGUUGAUGGCCAUUGAUAGUUAUCCUUUCUAAAAUUUCAUAAGCCUCAUUAUAUGAGUUAGACAAUAAAGCCCCUAGUUAUUGAGUUCAACCCAUUGUAGAAAGUUUCCAAUUGUAUGCAAUAAGGAAUACCAUGAUGAGGGCAUCUCCUGAGUAACCCCUUGAAUCUUUCUCAUGCAUCAUACAAGCUUUCAUCUUCAAGUUGAUGGAAAGAUGUGAUCUCAUUCUUCAACUUUGCAUUCUUUGUUGGUGGGAAAUAUUUCAUCAAAAGUUUGUCAGCCAAAUAAUUCCAUGUGGUGAUGGAGUCUGGUUGCAAAGAACUCCACUGUACCAACUAAAAUUGAUUUCACAAAACACAAUAAGCACCAAUCCCCGGCAACGGCGCAAAAAACUUGUUGUCGAUUUUCUAAUGCUAUUAGUGUCAAUGUGAAAAUGUACACAACAAGUAAUAUAACGAUAAGUAUUCACUCCACAAGGAUUAUUAUUAUAGGAAUUGCUACAGUAAUUCUAUCAGUGCCAUUCUUAUUAUAAAUUAGAAUUUAAACAAAUUAUUCAACUAAUGAACUAAGGCAGAUCUUAUUGGGCUAGUCGGCAAUGUGUUGCUUUAGGUCGUGUGGAAUAGUUGCGGGAGUGAUCUUGCAUGAUGUGUGGAGCUAUAACAGUGCUGAGCAUGGGCCAAUCUAUGGGCUCAUGGAACUAGCGAACCUAAUCUAGAAUUUCGAGGAAGAGUACUCUGGUUAGUACUCUAAAUUACCUUAUUAUAUUUUGCACAAACAGAGGCAUGUUAGUGAAAUAAUAUCUAAGCAACCCAAGAGGGGGGUGAAUUGGGUUUCUAAAAAUUAUGCAAUUCUUAAACAAAACUUAAUGCAAAUCUUAAACGAAUUUAAAGCAAUAAUACAUAAAUCAACCAAGGUAUAAAAAGAUAAGGGAAGAGAGAUUAAAACACAGAGAGUUUUACGUGGUUCGGCCAACCUUGCCUACAUCCACACCCCCAAGCACACCGAGCUUGGGCAUUCCACUAGUCAAGCCUUCAAGGCUUCAAGAACACUUACAAUUGACUUCUUAGGUGUCAAUCAACCUUUACAUCUAGAGAUUAUCCCCAAUCUCUUAACCCAAGUGUAUCCCAAUAUUUACAAUCACUCAAAAUAAAGAUUACAAAUUUAUUUUUCUCUCACACAAUUUUUUAAGAUUACAAAUCAACGCUUAAUGUGUGAAUAAAUGAACAAGAAUGAAUUUGAAGCUCAAUGAAUGUUGUAUUCUCGAUUAUAAGCUCAAUGAUAACGUUGUGAUAAGCUCUUGUUUGAAUUUGAUUGAUCUUAUUUAUAGUUGGAGUUGAAAAAUAGCCAUUGUUGACUUUUUCCCGAAAUUGGAUCGCCGUUAACCGUUAUCGGUUAACCGUUUUGACUGGUCCAAGUGACCGUUGAGCUGAAUUUCAAAUAAACGGUUGAUCUUUUGACACUAUCGGUUUGCUGUUAAUUUCCAUAAACCUGUAAAACAAAUUUAUGCUAUUCGUUCUUGCUAAACGGUUGAAGGUCAGCAUGGAAUGACAUUCUAGAAAUUAUUGGUUGGCCGUUUGAAGUUCACGGUUCACCGUUUACUUCUAGAAUCACAGUUUUAACCAAAUUUCGCAGGGAAUGCUUUUUCGGUUAAAGUUAACGAUUAUCCAUAUUUCAUGAACACAUUUAGAAAAAUCAUACGACUUUUGAGAAAUUGUUUAGUAAUGAAAACUCUAACAUUUUAAUCAAAUACAUUUAAAGUUUGUUAUCAUCAAAAUCAAUAUAAUGAACAUCUACAUGUUAACAGUUAGGCCUUGAUUAUUUUUUAAAUCUUAUAAGAUAUAGAGUGAUAAUAGUAACUCAAUUUUCAUAAAACGUGGAAAGAUCAGUCGCCAAAUUUAUAGAUGCCAUAGAAAAUCUAGAUUUUAGUAAGGAAUAUCAAGUUAUUUAUACAAUGAAAAUUGUUAAAACUCGAUUAAUUGCAAGGAAACACUUUUAGAGAGAUAUGGAGAGAAUAAACUUUGAAGAUAACAAUGAAAUACAUGACACAUUUAAGGAAGAAAAUAUAAUAGUAUUAAUAGAAUCUAUUUUAACCAGUCUUAAGAUAAUUCAAGAUUGAUGCAAAAUAAAUAACAGGACUCUAAACCGUCCAUAAUAAGUCUAUUGAUUAAUAAUAAUAAUAAUAGUGAUGUGAAAUUUUUUAUUCAGAAUGCUCAAUUUAGAUUAUAAUAUCUAUGUGAAAGCAUUGAUGGCAUGUACCUUGGUUAGGAAAAUAGAUUGGACACAUGGAUAUAUAUGUUGGAAGAACAAAUCUAGUUUAUAUCUCAAGAGAGAUAAUAAAUUAUAAAUGCCGGUGCUAUAGUAUAUUCAGAUUUUAUAAAUCUUUAUAAAUUUAAUAAUCAUUUAGAUCUUCAUAAAAUUAUAAUAAAACUUUAAAAAACUUUAAAAAUAUAUGUAGAAGAGAUGGAAGAAGAAAUCAUCCAGUUAUUCAAAAUCAAUUAAACAGAAAUAGAAGGUAAAAUCCUUGAAUUAUAUAAAUUAUACAAUUUCACAGAAAUUUUGCAUAUAUUGCAAAACGGUCCUUGUGGCACUAAUUAUGGGACUAGUGUAGCAUAAAUACUAAUAUUGCUUUUUAUUUUGUAAAUUAAUUGUUGCGUCAUAAUGUUUUUACAUACACAUUUUAUGUUUUAAAAUAUGAAUUUUUUUUUUUUGUAUUUAGGGAUAAUUUUACAAUUUCAUACUUUGUUCAAUUAUAUAUACAGGUCCUUAACGUGUUGGUUGAUGUUGAAUAUUCAAAGAUCCACAAGCUAUCAACGACAACGAAUCAAAUUAAACUAAUUAGUUAAUACAUAAUGACUGGGUUGUUUCCUAUGUUGUUAAUGAUGUAGGACGUUAUUUUAGGAUUUUAGAAUUGUAAUUUUUAGGUCUUCUGAUAUUUUCUUUUUUAAUUAAAGUUAGUGUCUUAGUUUUUUAUUUAUUUAUGUUAUAAUUAUAAUUUACUUUCUCUUUUUAAGUUAACUUAGGAAAAUAUAUUUACUGUAUUAUAAAUAAAGAGAUCUUGUUAUUACUUUAUAACUUCAACUUCAGUUAUUCAAUUAAAAACCCCUCUUUUAUAAUUUCAUUUUGUAUUAUUUAUUAAAAACCCCUCUUUUAAAGUUGUUUGAUUAGAGCAUCAUCCAGCCUUGCUUAACGCAGUAUUAAAAAUCCAUUUGAGUUUAAUCACACUUCGAUUAGAGCGUAACUUAAUUGCAUUGACUUGGUCCAGUACUUGAACGAUAUCUAGUGUUUUGCUUCCGCUAUGCCAAGGAGAAAAUUAAUUUCACCGUGAGAUAAGAGCAUUAAAAGGAAUUCAUAAGAAAUUUAAAUUAAAGCUAUAUAUGUUAAAUAUAUCGCUAGCUACUUGUUUUUGGAGGAAUUAAAACAAUUAAUAAGCUGCGAAGUGAAAAUGAAUAAAUAAAUGAAAUGAGGUUGAAAAUAAGUCUCGCCGCCUGGAUCCAAGGCCAAAACAUUCAUGAUAAGUUAGGUAAUUAAGUACAUGUUUUCAAGCUCUUCAUGAAGAAUAACGUUAUUGAAAUAAAUCACAAAGACUCCCUGCGCAAAUUAUUACAUUGAUUAAAAAAAAAAAGCCAUAUCUUUAACAGGAUCGUGACUCUCGGACUGUUAAUUACUUUAUUCCCUGCUUGGCCAACAGCUGGCCACUAAACAAAAUCAUAAAAAUUUUAAAUUUAGUCAAAUUGGUCCCACUUGAUGACAUCCUUUCCAUACAUAAAAUUGUUUAACGUCAAGGUUAAAUAUGAGAAGUUUGGUAGAGAAGGUAAAAAGGAAGUCUAUAUAAGGAGGGGAACGAGCUUUGUUUAUAGCACAAGUGAAACUCCACUUUAUUGAACGAUGGGGUCUCAAAUGGGCUGCCUCUUUGCCACUCUUUUGGUAGUAUCAGUCUCUCUUAGCUACUUGCCGUUAGAAGCCUCCGCAAACAAAUACUACUACACAUCUCCUCCCCCUCCCAAAUACAAGUCUCCACCACCACCCCCGCCACCGGUUCACAAUUCUCCACCACCACCCCCGGUUUACCUGCCCCCGCCACCUCCUCCACCAGUCUACGUGCCUGCUCCGGCACCAACUCCAAUUUUCCCUUCUCCGCCACCUCCUGUCCCCAAGUCCCCACCACCACCUCACCCUUACAUCUAUGCAUCUCCCCCUCCUCCUUACUACUACUAGAAAGUGGCCAUGAAUAGCUCAUGCUUUUAUGGUAAUCUCAUUUAUUUUUAAAACUGUACAUGUAAAGACUAGUAGUUCAGAAUUACAUUAAGCAUUUCAAUUUUAAGCACCGUGUUCUGUUUAAUUGCGUUCCUAUUGAUUAAGUGACAAAUAAAAGAGAUUGAUUAAUUUGUUCUUGUAGGAGAGGCGAAUGGUUUCCGAAUAAAGAAAGCAAGGGUUUGAUGGAAGGCUUACUUGGAGCAAGAGAGCGAUCAAUCGAGUUGCUGCGUUUUAUUCUCUUUUAUCUUUGUUUUUUAAGAAAAAUAAACUGCCACACGUAGAAACAGAAAAUUAAGUUCUUGUCAUUUUCAUGCAUAUGGAUUGUUGCUGUGUGUGUCAAUCAAAUCUCCGUUGUGUCAUUUGUAAUUUUCAACCUUUAUGCAUGCAAAUGCGAGACCUCUUACGUAUAAUAAAAUUAAUAUACUUCCAAAGAUGGUCUUAUCUUGCGUUGACUUUUUACGUUCCUUUGGUGAUGAUUUUGACGUUUGAAAUUG